RNAcentral lists this long non-coding RNA (560 nucleotides) under Anser cygnoides (Swan goose). RNAcentral describes it as "lncRNA (ENSACDG00005009870.1)". Lineage: Eukaryota; Metazoa; Chordata; Aves; Anseriformes; Anatidae. The record is from RNAcentral.
AUGUUUUGCCCAAACUCGGGGCUCUCGAGGCUGAUGAGCUCACCUCGGAGCCCCAUCCACGCCCGGCAGCCUUCGCACGAAGCGGCUGCACCGGGCUCUGAGCAAGAGAAGGGCGAAAACGGAGCGGCCGGCGGAGCAGAAGGAAGUGCCGCCGGGGCCACUCCUCCGCGCCAUUUCCUCCCUGCGCCUGGGUUUUUAUACAGAUGCGAGGGGCAGCACGGCGGCCGGCCCGUCCGAGGCCUCAGCCUGGGCUGGGGCGACCGAAGGGGAGCGCCGGCGGCCGGCCCCGAGGAGAGGCUGCGGGUCCCUGCGCUCCGUCCGGCCCCGUCCCCUGCAUGCCCUGCGGCCUCGCACGCACCGAGCUCUGCAUCUUCGUGCAGGGCAGGGACGGAGCCGGCACUGGCGCUGCCGCACGUGGAGGUGGCCGCAUCCAGACCCGAAGCCCUGCUUCCUCCUGGGGGUUUCCCCGGCAGGUCUGUGCUCCCAUCGUCGUGUCCCGCUGCCGGAGCGCAUCCUCUUCCUCCCUGCUCACCGACCGAGAAAAAAAUAUGAUGUGAAUG